ACUACAUAGUAACAGAGGAGCCCUAGAUGAUUUAGACAAGGUCUGGGAGCUGCUCGACGAUAAAUUGGAUCUUAAAUUAAGUACAACCUAGAAGGGCAUUCACAUUAGGUGUGGUAUCAGUUGCCAUGAGUCACAAUGAAAAAUAUUCGUCAAUGAGAAUAUGGGACCUAGAAAAAUGAGAAAAAAUUGCGAAUAUUGAUGUGGGACCUGUAGAUCUCUGGACGGUUGCGUUCAGUCCGGACAAUAUACACAUCAUUUCUGGAAGCCACUCGGGCAAAAUCACUCAGUAUAGCGUUGAAACCGCAGCGGUAGAACAGUCAUUUGACACCAGAGGAAAAUUUACUCUGAGCAUUGCUUACAGUACCGAUGGACAGUACAUAGCUAGUGGUUUUAUUAAAAUUUUUGACGUUGCUACUAACAAAUUAUGGCACACUCUAGAGAGUCACGCUAUGCCAAUAUCAGGUAU
Long non-coding RNA from Sitophilus oryzae (rice weevil), 466 nucleotides. RefSeq lists it as uncharacterized. The transcript has 3 exons. The record is from RefSeq and is a predicted model, not a curated record. NCBI's taxonomy places the organism in Eukaryota, Metazoa, Arthropoda, Insecta, Coleoptera, Curculionidae.